CAGUCGCCACGGUAAUACGAAGGGGGCUAGCGUUGUUCGGAAUUACUGGGCGUAAAGCGCACGUAGGCGGAUCGAUCAGUCAGGGGUGAAAUCCCAGGGCUCAACCCUGGAACUGCCUUUGAUACUGUCGAUCUGGAGUAUGGAAGAGGUGAGUGGAAUUCCGAGUGUAGAGGUGAAAUUCGUAGAUAUUCGGAGGAACACCAGUGGCGAAGGCGGCUCACUGGUCCAUUACCGACGCUGAGGUGCGAAAGCGUGGGGAGCAAACAGGAUUAGAUACCCCUGUAGUCCCUGUCUCUUAUAC
This 301-nucleotide ribosomal RNA is filed under the name uncultured bacterium. Its description in RNAcentral is "partial 16S ribosomal RNA". It matches the Rfam family "Bacterial small subunit ribosomal RNA", at positions 509 to 807 of the family's 1533-position model. The record is from RNAcentral.